This 460-nucleotide ribosomal RNA is filed under the name uncultured bacterium. RNAcentral's name for it is "partial 16S ribosomal RNA". It matches the Rfam family "Bacterial small subunit ribosomal RNA", at positions 338 to 795 of the family's 1533-position model. The record is from RNAcentral.
CCUACGGGAGGCAGCCGUGAGGAAUAUUGGUCAAUGGGCGCGAGCCUGAACCAGCCAAGUAGCGUGAAGGAUGACUGCCCUACGGGUUGUACACUUCUUUUAUAAAGGCAUAAAGUGAGGCACGUGUGCCUUUUUGUAUGUACUUUAUGAAUAAGGAUCGGCUAACUCCGUGCCCGCAGCCGCGGUAAUACGGAGGAUCCGCGCGUUAGCCGGAUUUAUUGGGUUUAAAGGGAGCGUAGAUGGGUUGUUAAGUCAGUUGUGAAAGUGUGCGGCUCAACCGUAAAAUUGCAAUUGAUACUGGCAGCCUUGAGUACAGUUGAGGUAGGCGGAAUUCGUGGUGUAGCGGUGAAAUGCUUAGAUAGCACGAAGAACUCCGAUUGCGAAGGCAGCCUACUAAACUGCCACUGACAUUGAUGCUCGAAAGUGUGGGUAUCAAACAGGAUUAGAGACCCUUGUAGUC